Molecule: ribosomal RNA, 380 nt
Filed under: uncultured eukaryote
Lineage: Eukaryota
Description: partial 18S ribosomal RNA
Rfam family: Eukaryotic small subunit ribosomal RNA
Source: RNAcentral
CAAUAGCGUAUAUUAAAGUUGUUGCGGUUAAAAAGCUCGUAGUUGGAUUUCUGCUGAGAACGACCGGUCCGCCCUUUGGGUGUGUAUCUGGCUCUUUCUUGGCAUCUUCUUGGUGAACGUUGCUGCACUUGACUGUGUGGAGCGCUACCCAGGACUUUUACUUUGAGGAAAUUAGAGUGUUUCAAGCAGGCAUACGCCUUGAAUACAUUAGCAUGGAAUAAUAAGAUAGGACCUCGGUUCUAUUUUGUUGGUUUCUAGAGCUGAGGUAAUGAUUAAUAGGGAUAGUUGGGGGCAUUCGUAUUUAACUGUCAGAGGUGAAAUUCUUGGAUUUGUUAAAGACGGACUACUGCGAAANCANNNGCCAAGGAUGUUUUCAUNGG